RNAcentral lists this unclassified non-coding RNA (247 nucleotides) under uncultured fungus. Its description in RNAcentral is "sequence contains ITS2". The record is from RNAcentral. Lineage: Eukaryota; Fungi.
AACGCACAUUGCGCCCUUUGGUAUUCCGAAGGGCAUGCUUGUUCGAGCGUCAUUUCAAACCUCAAGCUUCUGCUUGGUAUUGGGCCUCGUCCGUCUAGGACGUGCCAGAAACCCGUGGGCGGUGGUGCCGGUCUCCCAGCGUAGUCAAUUCUAUCCGCUUCGGAGCUUCAGGUGCUGCCCGCCGGACAACUCCAAAAAUUUUCUAUGGUUUGACCUCGGAUCAAGUAGGGAUACCCGCUGAACUUAA